GAUGAACGCUGGCGGCGUGCCUAAUACAUGCAAGUCGAGCGAACAGAUGAGGAGCUUGCUCCUCUGACGUUAGCGGCGGACGGGUGAGUAACACGUGGAUAACCUACCUAUAAGACUGGGAUAACUUCGGGAAACCGGAGCUAAUACCGGAUAAUAUAUUGAACCGCAUGGUUCAAUAGUGAAAGACGGUUUUGCUGUCACUUAUAGAUGGAUCCGCGCCGCAUUAGCUAGUUGGUAAGGUAACGGCUUACCAAGGCAACGAUGCGUAGCCGACCUGAGGGGGUGAUCGGCCACACUGGAACUGAGACACGGUCCAGACUCCUACGGGAGGCAGCAGUAGGGAAUCUUCCGCAAUGGGCGAAAGCCUGACGGAGCAACGCCGCGUGAGUGAUGAAGGUCUUCGGAUCGUAAAACUCUGUUAUUAGGGAAGAACAAAUGUGUAAGUAACUAUGCACGUCUUGACAGUACCUAAUCAGAAAGCCACGGCUAACUACGUG
Molecule: ribosomal RNA, 497 nt
Filed under: uncultured bacterium
Lineage: Bacteria
Description: partial 16S ribosomal RNA
Rfam family: Bacterial small subunit ribosomal RNA
Source: RNAcentral